Molecule: ribosomal RNA, 399 nt
Filed under: uncultured bacterium
Lineage: Bacteria
Description: partial 16S ribosomal RNA
Rfam family: Bacterial small subunit ribosomal RNA
Source: RNAcentral
AAUAUUGCAUAAUGGGCGAAAGCCAGAUGCAGCAACGCCGCGUGAAUGAUGAAGGCCNNNGGGUCNGCAUGUUCUUUGAUUUGNGAUNAAAAUGACAGUACCUGAAAAACAAGCCACCGCUAACUAAGUCCCAGCAGCCGCGGUAAUACGUAGGGGGCGAGCCUUGUCCGGAAUUACUGGGCGUAAAGGAUGCGUAGGUGGAUACUUAAGUGGGAUGUGAAAUCCCCGGGCUCAACCCGGGAACUGCAUUCCAAACUGGGUAUCUAGAGUGCAGGAGAGGAAAGCGGGAUUCCUAGUGUAGCGAUGAAAUGCGUAGAUAUUAGGAGGAACACCAGUGGCGAAGGAGGCUUUCUGGACUGUAAAUGACACUGAGGCAUGAGAGCGUGGGUAGCAAACAAG